Long non-coding RNA from Felis catus (domestic cat), 629 nucleotides. RefSeq lists it as uncharacterized. The transcript is spliced from 3 exons. NCBI's taxonomy places the organism in Eukaryota, Metazoa, Chordata, Mammalia, Carnivora, Felidae. The record is from RefSeq and is a predicted model, not a curated record.
CAAACCCGCAACCUGCAAGAUCAUGACCUGAGCUGAAGUCAGAGGCUUAACCAACUGAGCCACCCAGUGCCCAAUUUUCUACAGUUUAAGGUCAGUGGUUCUUAGUUCUGGACCUCAACUGUGAAGAAUCCAUGACCUCACAGAGUUCCCUUGAUGCCUAUGGGAAAAGAGCGCUUCUAAUCUUACCAAAGUUAAAUAAGCUAUUCCAUAAGAAUGUAUAGUAUAUUCCUUUUGUAGCUAUCAUUAGCAUUUUUUUUUAAAUUGCCACCAAAGAUUCCAUCUUGACACAUGGGAGCCAAAGAGAAGGGGUACAUGUCAUGUCUUGUUUGACAAAGGAUUCCUCCACCUUAGGAAGCUGUUCCUGCCUCCUCAGAGCACUGACUCAGUGAAAGAAUGGCCACAACAAGCACAGGAAUAUGGUUUCUCUCCACUAGGAAUCCGCUGAUGGGGCCGAAGGAUUUUCUGAAGUUCUUCCGAGUGCCCAGAGGAUGGUGGUUCUAAGUCGCCAUGCUAUAAGUCCGACUGGGAACCACAAGUGACAGAGGCUCCUACAGUGGUUUCCCUUUGUGAGUGGUAGUCAGUUUCAUCAGUUUCCUGAGUUCCACCGGAAGCACUUGCCUACCUGAGGG